CAUAAACAUCAUUGUUGGAGCGACAACCUUACUGGUAGUAGUUUUGGAUUUUAGUGUAUAUUUCGUAAUAAGAAAACGUAGGACACGUUCAAAAUGAGACUUUUAAUCAGCUGUGUUUUAUUAUCUGUUCUUGUGAUCAUCACAGUCAGUGCUGAAGAGAAGAGAGUGCGGAAAAGAGGAGGAAUAAUCCAUGGCCCGGUCCGCUCCAAGGACAUGUGUCAGGAGGUCAACAUAGAAGACAAGGAAAGAGGUGGAGUCCAUUCAUUUUCAAUAAAAAUACUGGUAAACGAGCCUCGGUUGAGUAUGACACAGAGAGUGACUUUGAAACAAUAAUCAAGGAUGUGCUCACCUACAUGGAGAUGAGAGAGAACGGCAUAUGGGAAGAAGUGACCGAAUGCCUAUCAAGAAACUCGUAUUAUGGUGAAGACACUAAUUCAGCGGACGAGAAAUAAAUACAAAUAUAUAUACUUGUUCGGUCAUUACAUCCUGUGGUGUAUUUUUCUCAAAUUUUCAUCAUCGUAAUUUCCAAGAUUAUUUAUAAUACAAUUUGCUCGCUAUAGUUUAAAUUGAAUGUUCACAAAGACAUUAAACAUUGAAUAUUUUCACAUGACAUAUUUAACCAUGUGAGAUAUAUCAGUGUAUCCAGAUAGUAUUUUCGACACUAUUUUAUUUGUGAUUUUAUUUUAUGAAUGCAUUUUAUCUACGAAAACCGCACGUUGACUGGCCUGCUGGGAAAUAGACCGACACUCAUUGGCGCCUUGGUGGUAUUUGUAUACUGUUGUAAAUUUAUACGAUAUGUAAUGCUGUUCCUUUGCGACAAGAUUACUAUUAUUGUGAUAUUUUUCGAGGCUGUAAAAUAAAAUUUAAUCAAUGACA
Long non-coding RNA from Saccoglossus kowalevskii, 876 nucleotides. The record is from RefSeq and is a predicted model, not a curated record. NCBI's taxonomy places the organism in Eukaryota, Metazoa, Hemichordata, Enteropneusta, Harrimaniidae.